CCUACGUGGGACAGCAGUGAGGAAUAUUGGUCAAUGGGCGCGAGCCUGAACCAGCCAAGUAGCGUGAAGGAUGACUGCCCUACGGGUUGUAAACUUCUUUUAUAAAGGAAUAAAGUGAGGCACGUGUGCCUUUUUGUAUGUACUUUAUGAAUAAGGAUCGGCUAACUCCGUGCCAGCAGCCGCGGUAAUACGGAGGAUCCGAGCGUUAUCCGGAUUUAUUGGGUUUAAAGGGAGCGUAGAUGGGUUGUUAAGUCAGUUGUGAAAGUUUGCGGCUCAACCGUAAAAUUGCAAUUGAUACUGGCAGUCUUGAGUACAGUUGAGGUAGGCGGAAUUCGUGGUGUAGCGGUGAAAUGCUUAGAUAUCACGAAGAACUCCGAUUGCGAAGGCCGCUUACUAAACUGCCACUGACAUUGAUGCUCGAAAGUGUGGGUAUCAAACAGGAUUAGAUACCCCUGUAGUC
Molecule: ribosomal RNA, 460 nt
Filed under: uncultured bacterium
Lineage: Bacteria
Description: partial 16S ribosomal RNA
Rfam family: Bacterial small subunit ribosomal RNA
Source: RNAcentral